Molecule: ribosomal RNA, 548 nt
Filed under: uncultured Glomus
Lineage: Eukaryota; Fungi; Glomeromycota; Glomeromycetes; Glomerales; Glomeraceae
Description: SSU rRNA
Rfam family: Eukaryotic small subunit ribosomal RNA
Source: RNAcentral
UUGGAGGGCAAGUCUGGUGCCAGCAGCCGCGGUAAUUCCAGCUCCAAUAGCGUAUAUUAAAGUUGUUGCAGUUAAAAAGCUCGUAGUUGAAUUUCGGGACCAAUUUGUUGGUCGUGCCUCGGUACGUACUGGUAUUAUUGGUUUCUCCCUUCUGAAGAACCUUGAUGUCAUUAAUUUGGUGUCUUGGGGAAUCGGGACUGUUACUUUGAAAAAAUUAGAGUGUUUAAAGCAGGCAUACGCUUGAAUACAUUAGCAUGGAAUAAUGAAAUAGGACGUUUGAUUCUAUUUUGUUGGUUUCUAGGAUCGACGUAAUGAUUAAUAGGGAUAGUUGGGGGCAUUAGUAUUCAAUUGUCAGAGGUGAAAUUCUUGGAUUUAUUGAAGACUAACUACUGCGAAAGCAUUUGCCAAGGAUGUUUUCAUCAAUCAAGAACGAAAGUUAGGGGAUCGAAGACGAUCAGAUACCGUCGUAGUCUUAACCAUAAACUAUGCCGACUAGGGAUCGGAUGAUGUUAAUUUUUUAAUGACUCAUUCGGCGCCUUACGGGAAAC